Molecule: non-coding RNA, 141 nt
Organism: Caenorhabditis elegans
Lineage: Eukaryota; Metazoa; Nematoda; Chromadorea; Rhabditida; Rhabditidae
Source: Ensembl
UUAAAAAUACAAGUGAAAAGCGGGCGCUUGCUGUCGUACGAUUCAAUGUUUAGUCCGCAACGGUGUAUGCACGCCCUGUGAAAUACCGUACUCGUUUGAAAAUUUCAAUUUUUCUGCAAUUGCAUGCAAACGUUGGUCAAA